UAGCAUUUUGUUUAGAAACAAACAAAACAAACAAACAAACAAACAAACAAACAAACGCCAGGAACCACUGAUUACUUCUUGGUUUUCAGUAGGUUGCUAAAAUUAAAAUAAUCAACUACAGUUAAAACUCUGAAGUAGUUGCAUGAAGAAAUUUAUUCCACUGUAAUACAGAGAGAAACCCAUCUGUUACGGCCAUAGCACUAAAACUAGAGAUUGUAGACCUAUGAACCUGGAAUACUUAAGAUGCUGUAUUGUCGGAUGCCAUUAUCAAUCUACUCCAUUUCCAAAUCAAUGCUUAAUUCCAAAAAGGCAGGCUGAAAAAUGAAAGCAAAAAUACCCCAAACAUCAGUACAGUGAUAAAUAUAGAAGAAAGUCUUGUGUGGCAUCUAAGCCAGAAUGUACAGUACCAGAUUGAGAAACACUAAAUGUAGCUAAAAACCUCAACAUUUAAGUAGUACUACAGAAAGGGAAAUGACAUUAAAGGAUUUAACAUGUUCAUAUUUUGUUGGUACUAGAAAGCAUCUUACACCACCUAGUGGCAAGAUAGUGUUUAGAUUUCAUUUUUCUAUAAUAUUCCUGUCAUCCCACCCGUUAGUGUGACCACUUUGGGAAAAAUAUCCACUGACAGUUGCAUUUCAAUGUUAA
Chelonoidis abingdonii (Abingdon island giant tortoise) is the source of this 645-nucleotide non-coding RNA. The record is from RefSeq and is a predicted model, not a curated record. NCBI's taxonomy places the organism in Eukaryota, Metazoa, Chordata, Testudines, Testudinidae.